Molecule: ribosomal RNA, 687 nt
Filed under: Paenibacillus amylolyticus
Lineage: Bacteria; Bacillati; Bacillota; Bacilli; Caryophanales; Paenibacillaceae
Description: bacterial SSU rRNA
Rfam family: Bacterial small subunit ribosomal RNA
Source: RNAcentral
GCUUGCUUCUCUGAUGGUUAGCGGCGGACGGGUGAGUAACACGUAGGCAACCUGCCCUCAAGUUUGGGACAACUACCGGAAACGGUAGCUAAUACCGAAUAGUUGUUUUCUUCGCCUGAAGAGAACUGGAAAGACGGAGCAAUCUGUCACUUGGGGAUGGGCCUGCGGCGCAUUAGCUAGUUGGUGAGGUAACGGCUCACCAAGGCGACGAUGCGUAGCCGACCUGAGAGGGUGAUCGGCCACACUGGGACUGAGACACGGCCCAGACUCCUACGGGAGGCAGCAGUAGGGAAUCUUCCGCAAUGGGCGAAAGCCUGACGGAGCAAUGCCGCGUGAGUGAUGAAGGUUUUCGGAUCGUAAAGCUCUGUUGCCAGGGAAGAACGCUUGGGAGAGUAACUGCUCUCAAGGUGACGGUACCUGAGAAGAAAGCCCCGGCUAACUACGUGCCAGCAGCCGCGGUAAUACGUAGGGGGCAAGCGUUGUCCGGAAUUAUUGGGCGUAAAGCGCGCGCAGGCGGUCAUUUAAGUCUGGUGUUUAAUCCCGGGGCUCAACCCCGGAUCGCACUGGAAACUGGGUGACUUGAGUGCAGAAGAGGAGAGUGGAAUUCCACGUGUAGCGGUGAAAUGCGUAGAUAUGUGGAGGAACACCAGUGGCGAAGGCGACUCUCUGGGCUGUAACUGACGCUGA